UGUUUGAAAAUAUAUCAAGAGGAGAAAGAAAAUCUUAAAAAUCUUAUUCAUAAUCAACGUGUAUGUGUUACUAGUGAUACAUGGACAUCACUUCAAAAGCUAACUUAUAUGGUUAUCACUGCCCAUUGGAUCGAUGAUGAGUGGAAUCUGAAAAAGAAAAUUCUCAACUUUUUCCAAACAUCAGAUCAUAAGGGUGAGACAAUUGCUAAGGGGAUUGAGGCGUGUUUGAAAAAUUCAGAAACUUGAGAUAGUUGAAAAAGAAUAUGCUGACACAACCUUGAGCAUUGAUUAGUUUGGAUGUUGCAAUUGAAAUUCGUAGUGCAACUAUUUUUCUCUUUGGCAGUUAAUUUUCAGGGUUUUGCUUUCACCAGAAGUACUUUUGGAUUCUGCUAUUGACUUCUUUUUUGUAUUUAAUUACACUUUUAUGCAAGCAACUAAAUGACCUUUCUCUGGUGACAGUUGGGUAUAUGAUUCUUUUGUGUUGAUCAUU
Lycium ferocissimum is the source of this 490-nucleotide long non-coding RNA. RefSeq lists it as uncharacterized. The record is from RefSeq and is a predicted model, not a curated record. NCBI's taxonomy places the organism in Eukaryota, Viridiplantae, Streptophyta, Magnoliopsida, Solanales, Solanaceae. The transcript has 3 exons.